UAAAUAAGCUUACAACCCUUUUCCCUUUCCUUCCUCAUCAAAGUGACUAGCACCUACUCUCUCUCCCUCUCUCUUCAACCUUUAUGCAUGUGUGUGUUUUCUUCCGCAGGGGUUUGAUUCUUAUGGCAUACACAUAUAUGUUCCUCAAAUAUUGGCCUGUAUUGUUGCAGAGUAGUAAGGUAGAAUCUGUUAAGCUCAGGAGGGAUAGCGCCACAUAUAACACAAUUCAUUCGUAUUGGCGCUAUCUAUCCUGAGUUUCACGGCUUCUUCUUACUUUAAGAUAUCAUUCUCUUAUGAUAUACAUGUUCUAGCUAGUACUUAGAAAUUAAAAUGAACCACCCCAUUUUAAUUUACUUCCCUUUCUCUUUUUUUCUGUUUUCAUUUAUUAUACUUUACUAUGAUUAUUCUGUCUGAAACAGGGAUCAAGAUCUUGAUGAUGAUGAUGAUGACGAUGACGAUGAUGAUGGGUUAUUAGUUUUACUCAAUUCAAUAACUUCAUCCAUCUGGCUCCUAGUUUAUGAAUUAUAUUAUAAAUUAUGAUUUUUGGUUUGAUUUGCCUCAGAUAAGCAAGGAAUGGCCAAAGAACGGUUUGUACUACUGUUUAAAGGAACACACUCGCAGACAAUAUUAUAUUCUGAUGAGUAGAUUUACUAUCAAGUUUAGAGAUAUAUUGAAGAUUCUAGCUCAUGGUAUCUAAGAAUCAGCGUUCUAUAUAGGUUCCAUCUUUUUCUUUUCUCCCAGUUUUUUUUUUCCUUCCAAUGCUUUUUCGGGUAAGAAAGUUUUCCUUUUAUAUAUCUUCUUCCUUG
Non-coding RNA from Arachis ipaensis, 806 nucleotides. Lineage: Eukaryota; Viridiplantae; Streptophyta; Magnoliopsida; Fabales; Fabaceae. The record is from RefSeq and is a predicted model, not a curated record.